Molecule: long non-coding RNA, 269 nt
Filed under: Coffea arabica (coffee)
Lineage: Eukaryota; Viridiplantae; Streptophyta; Magnoliopsida; Gentianales; Rubiaceae
Description: long non-coding RNA (CARA_LNC001827)
Source: RNAcentral
AAAAGAAAGCCCACUCCACCAUAUAGUUCAUGACAGCGAUGCACAAAAAAUACUUUGCCAACAACCAAACAUCUGAAAUAAAAAAAAAAGGCUAUGUUUCCCAGGCUCUAUGUUUCCGAGUCUCACAGGCUCUAACAAAGUCCAGAAUAUAUGAUGAAUAACUACAGAGUUCAGACCUGCUCAAAACAUUUUAGGAAAAUUCAAGUUAUUACAUCACCAGCAGGUGAAAACAUAAAUAACUAUUGAAAAUUUCAGACAAUAAUACCAGU